RNAcentral lists this ribosomal RNA (609 nucleotides) under Micrococcaceae bacterium. RNAcentral describes it as "bacterial SSU rRNA". It matches the Rfam family "Bacterial small subunit ribosomal RNA", at positions 214 to 835 of the family's 1533-position model. Lineage: Bacteria; Bacillati; Actinomycetota; Actinomycetes; Micrococcales; Micrococcaceae. The record is from RNAcentral.
UGUGGUUUUGGAUGGACUCGCGGCCUAUCAGCUUGUUGGUGAGGUAAUGGCUCACCAAGGCGACGACGGGUAGCCGGCCUGAGAGGGUGACCGGCCACACUGGGACUGAGACACGGCCCAGACUCCUACGGGAGGCAGCAGUGGGGAAUAUUGCACAAUGGGCGCAAGCCUGAUGCAGCGACGCCGCGUGAGGGAUGACGGCCUUCGGGUUGUAAACCUCUUUCAGUAGGGAAGAAGCGAAAGUGACGGUACCUGCAGAAGAAGCGCCGGCUAACUACGUGCCAGCAGCCGCGGUAAUACGUAGGGCGCAAGCGUUAUCCGGAAUUAUUGGGCGUAAAGAGCUCGUAGGCGGUUUGUCGCGUCUGCCGUGAAAGUCCGGGGCUCAACUCCGGAUCUGCGGUGGGUACGGGCAGACUAGAGUGAUGUAGGGGAGACUGGAAUUCCUGGUGUAGCGGUGAAAUGCGCAGAUAUCAGGAGGAACACCGAUGGCGAAGGCAGGUCUCUGGGCAUUAACUGACGCUGAGGAGCGAAAGCAUGGGGAGCGAACAGGAUUAGAUACCCUGGUAGUCCAUGCCGUAAACGUUGGGCACUAGGUGUGGGGGACAUUCC